UUCAGGGUAAAGCACCACAGGAGUUGUAAAAAAAUGGCUACAAAGGUAACAGUAAACCUAAUGCUAGUUAGGUCAACUCUGCCUAGAGUUAUUUAGGUGGUGAGGGGGUGUUUGGGGGGAUGGGAGGCAUCAUACAGAACAACUCCCUGUCAGAGUCUUUGUGCUUCACUCUUACUAUAACAAGGAUCGUCAGGGGCAGGACAUGCGAGCCUGCCUUUGCAGAAGAAAGGAGGUCACAGAGUUCCAGCUCAGGCAUGGUUAGUACCCAUCAAAAGCUACCAGCGAAUAGGAAGCUUCGGCUAUGACAUCAUCCACAAAUGAGGACAAUUUUCUUCUCAGAGCAAUAGAAUCACAGACCCUUGACUGAGCUUUAAUCAGCACAUUUGUAGUGAAUAAAGAAAGACACAGUAAUCACCAAUUGAUUGUCCCUAUCAUUUUAG
Erpetoichthys calabaricus (reedfish) is the source of this 440-nucleotide long non-coding RNA. RefSeq lists it as uncharacterized. NCBI's taxonomy places the organism in Eukaryota, Metazoa, Chordata, Cladistia, Polypteriformes, Polypteridae. The transcript is spliced from 3 exons. The record is from RefSeq and is a predicted model, not a curated record.